This 2066-nucleotide long non-coding RNA is filed under the name Homo sapiens (human). Its description in RNAcentral is "HSALNT0315387". The record is from RNAcentral. Lineage: Eukaryota; Metazoa; Chordata; Mammalia; Primates; Hominidae.
CCAGCUGGCUUCACCCAGUGGAUCCCUUACCGGGGCUGCAGGUGGAGCUGCCUGCCAGUCCAGGUGCCUUGCGCCCGCACUCCUCAGCCCUUGGGUGGUCGAUGGGACUGGGCGCCGUGGAGCAGGGGGUGGCGCUCCUCGGGGAGGCUCGGGCCGCCCAGGAGCCCCAUGGAGGGGGUGGGAGGCUCAGGCAUGGCGGGCUGCAAGUCCCGAGUCCUGCCCCGCGGGAAGGCAGCUAAGGCCCAGUGAGAAAUUGAGCGCAGCGCCAGGUGGGCUGGCACUGCUGGGUGACCCAGUACACCCUCCGCAGCCGCUGGCCCGGGUGCUAAGCCCCUCAUUGCCCGUGGCCUGCAGGGCAGGCCGGCUGCUCAGAGUGCGCGGCCCGCCAAGGCCACGCCCACCCGGAACUCCAGCUGGCCCGCAAGCGCCGCGCGCAGCCCCGGUUCCGGCUGGCGCCUCUCCCGCCACACCUCCCUGCAAGCUGAGGGAGCCGGCUCUGACCUUGGCCAGCCCAAGCAGAGGAGGCGCCGAGAGCGAGUGAGGGCUGUGAGAACUGCCAGCACGCUGUCACCUCUCACUGGGAUUACAAGCGUGAGCCACCGCGGCCAGUCAGUGCUAUCUUUUAAAGAUUUUUUUAUUUUUGUUUUUGUUUUUUUUUUCAGUCAAUAAACUUGGACUUUGCACCUUUAACUAACUUGAUACAGCUCCAGACAAAGCUAAGAGUCUAGAUAAGCAGUCAGUCCAGUUGUGGAUUGUGUCAGAAAAAUGACUUUGGCAACUCAUGUAGAGACUAUGCUCAGGUUCCCGUGUCCAUAAAAAUUGGUAUAAUAACACUCAUUCCCCUUUUAUUUUGCAGACAUCAUAAAGAUGAAUAAGAUAAUUAAAGGAACCCAAAUAUAUGGGCAUAAACAUAUAAACCUGAGGUAGGACUAUUAUUAUAAUGAUGUUAAACAAUGAGCAUAUUCAAAAGCUAAGUAAUUAAUACAAACUGUCCAAGACCAUUUUUAAAUAUUGCAUGCAUAUGGAAAUUUGGAAAGCAAGAAGGAAUCACAAGCUGGGCCACUGGGAAAGUUCGAGAGCCCUAAUCCUGCCAGAGGCACUGCAGGGUGUAGUCACUUUCAGCACUCCUGUCUGACAACUCCCAGGAAUUAGUAAAUAAGCUGAAAAUGUGAAGUCAUGCAAAGAUUUGUUUGAAAAGCAAAACGUUUCAAUAAAAGGUCUUCCUGGAUUAAGAAUCUAAGUAUGAUUUUCAUGAACCACCACCACUAAAGAUCAGAUAAUAUUAUUCAUGCUGCAAUUUGAAAGAGAAGCAAGAGGAAGAUCAGACCGACUCUGCCACUGCAUAAAAUCAUCCCCCUGGGAAUGAACAAAGCAUUCCGAGAAUGAGAAAUGGAAUAUUGGUGACUUCCUGGCUAACAGUUCCAUCUAGAGUCAACUGCGGUCAUGAUUUUCCAAUAACAGCCUGUUACUAAACCAAGAGAGGGAACCAACAAUGCCUGAGAAGAUUUGCAAGAACUUUGCCCAGCUGAGGCCCUUAAUGGAUGCAAUGAGGACAACUAACUCAAUCAAAUUCUCUUUUUGAAAGAAGAAUAAACUCUAAGUAAAGGGAAAGGUAUGUUUCUUGGUUUUAGGAUAUUGUCUCUACUCAUAAAUUAAAAAAAAAUCUUGGCCGGGUGCGGUGGCUCACGCCUGUAAUCCCAGCACUUGGGGAGGCCGAGGCGGGCGGAUCACGAGGUCAGGAGAUCGAGACCAUCCUGGCUAACACGGUGAAACCCCGUUUCUACUAAAAAUACAAAAAAUUAGCCAGGCAUGGUGGCAGGCGCUUGUAGUCCCAGCUACUCGGGAGGCUGAGGCCGGAGAAUGACGUGAACCAGGGAGGCGGAGCUUGCAGUGAGCCGGGAUCGGGCCACUGCACUCCAGCCUGGGUGACAGAGCGAGACUCCGUCUCAAAAAAAAAAAAAAAAUCUCUCUGACCAUUCCUUUAAGUUGCAGAUUUUUGAAACUUCCAGUCCUAUGUAAUGACCAAAGCUUUGAAGUUGACUUAAAUCUUUUCCUUUGCCUUCCAG